Betta splendens (Siamese fighting fish) is the source of this 276-nucleotide long non-coding RNA. RefSeq lists it as uncharacterized. Lineage: Eukaryota; Metazoa; Chordata; Actinopteri; Anabantiformes; Osphronemidae. The transcript has 3 exons. The record is from RefSeq and is a predicted model, not a curated record.
GUUUGUGAACCUAGCUAGCUUUCGUACUGGAAAGAAGUAAAGUAGUCCGUAUUCAGUGCCCUAAACGUUUGUGACUUGGAGAAUGUUAGUCUGUUUACAAAAAUGGAAAACCAUUGAAAAAUGCAACCUAAAGAUUAUUGAAACCCCAGGUGUUGCAGGAGAAGCAGUGCAGGCAGCGCGGCCCUUGGAGCCGCACGGAGGGAGGCAUCCGGACGUCUUGAAUCUGAUGGGGAGGCGAGUCCACGCGCGGGCGGCGGCGGCGGCGGCGGCGGCGGC